This 333-nucleotide ribosomal RNA is filed under the name Triticum aestivum (bread wheat). Its description in RNAcentral is "partial small subunit ribosomal RNA". Lineage: Eukaryota; Viridiplantae; Streptophyta; Magnoliopsida; Poales; Poaceae. The record is from RNAcentral.
AUGAGGCGGGAAGUUGUCGGUCAGAGCAAGAAGAAAUCAAACGACAAUGAAGAUAAGGAUAAGAUCACCGUCCUAGAGGAGAAGAUGAUGAAGGGGCCUAGACAAUCAUCCUCAUCCGACCAAAGAGAACAAAAUGUCUUACCUCCUCUAAAUCUCCGGAACAACCUCGGAACCACUCCCAAUGAAAAAACCUCCAUAAUUCAUAGCAACAGUAAAGAAAUCCCUUUCUUCAUCACCUACAUGGACAUUGCAAAUUCAGACGGGCAGAUAAUGUGUAAAAUUCAGUUAUUUUCAAAGAUCGUUUUGCAUUGCAAAAUUGCAAAAAUCAAUUAG